GAAGCGCGGAUUCCCGUUGACGUCACGGAUGGGGCGUGUCGUAUGUAGAUAUCUGAGCGCAGGGGCUGCCGGUACGUCUUCUGGUCUCCCGUGGCGUGGAGAGGACUUUUGCUUUGAAGUGCGUGUAUCCGCUGUGUGGAAAGUCCAGGAAGGCUCGGGGAUGCGGGGAGUGAAGUGAGCAUGUCUAUACAGUGUAGGGCGUAUGAGGUUGAGGUGGGGCAGGCAAGCAGCGAUGUUAUGUAUUUGGGAACAACUAUGAUUGUAAAGGUGGUGAUUUCAUACCGGUAUUAGUCGAAUGUACUCUCGAUUUGUUGAUGUCUAUUCGGUUUUCUCAAAUGGGGAACUGAGUUACUGGGUGAAUAUGCGUCACGGUUUCCUUUGGUUUUUCAUGCAUGCAAAAACAGACUUCAUUGAUGGAUGUUAGCUUUAUGUUUUAUUUUUAUGCAAUAAGGUGAUUUAUCAGUUAUCACACAGGUGUGCAGCAGAAGUUUUAUGCUACUGAGAAUGCUUUGUGUAUGUAAGCUCCUGAGGUUGCAACUGUAAUCAGACUUGCAGAAGAACCAAGAGUCGUUAUGUGACCAGUUUUUUCAUCUGAUGAUGAGAGACUGCAAUUGCUUCGUCUUGGCCUAAAUGGAUUUAGUGGUGUCUGAUUUUUUGCAACCCUAUGAACCAUAGCCUGCGAGGCUGGUUUGUCCAUGAGAUUUCUCAAGCAGGAAUACUGGAGUGGGUUGUCAUUUCUUGCUUCAGAGAAUUUUUCUCACCCAGGGGUCAAGCUCGGAUCUCUUUAAGUCUUCUGCACUGAAAAUGAAUGACCUGGAAGUGAAAGAAGAGAAGAGCUAUGAAAGAGCGUAUCUUGUGGACCCAAGUGGGCUUCAGAUCAAAUUCCUCCUUUCAGAUGCUACGCACUGACUGAGCAAUUGAACAAGUUCGAUAAGCUUUCCAUGUCUCAGUUUUCUCAUACAUGAAAUGAGGAUGGUGAUAUGAUAGAAGCCUGUUGAAAGGAUUAAAUAAGUGCACCCAUGUAAAACUUGUAGACCAUGCCUGGGCACAUGGCACUUUGCAUGUCAUCAUUGAGUUUUCCCACCCCAGAUGCUGCAGACCGGCCUGAACAGGGGAAAGUGGAGUGUGUGUGGUUCCCUGCCUGCCAGUCAGUCAUCUCCAAGGCAGCCGCCAGGACUUCCACUCACCUGCAGACCCACACAGCCCACCUCACCACUCCACAUGGAACCGCAAAGGGAACUUUGCCAGAACAAAUGCCACUCCAGCAGCUUUGCGAUUUGGGGUGAAUCGGGUCGGGGACACUUCAGUAAAGGGUGGGAGCUGCUCCAGAGUGAGGCGCUGUGGUCACCCCAACCCAGCGACCACCCACUCCUCUCCCUUCCAAUCCCUUUCUCCCUUCUGGCUCAUCCUGUGUUCCCUCCUGAUGUUUGCCUUCCUCGGAUCUUUUCGCCAGCCUCACACCUUUGUUUCUUGUCCUACAAUGACAGCUGCGUCAUUGAGUCCUUUGUAACCACUGAAAGUUCCAAAUUGUAAGUAUCAGAGUGAUGCCUCUUAGCACCGCGAAGGGAAAACUUGAGCUGUUCCAGUCCAUCACGGGCCUCAUUAGUGUUUUUCUCCCAAGCAGUAGAGGACACAAGUGUUUCCAUUCGCUCACGUUGUGAGAAAUCAUCUCCGUGGAGCAGAGUGGCGGCAGAACAAAGGGAACCCGGCCCCCGGCUCCAGACUCCCAACAGCCUCAUCUCCCCUUCGGCCACGGAGCAGCCUGGCCGGGUGGCCCUGGGUCAGGGAGCUGGGUCUCCUCAGACGCCGGAAUAUGCUACCCAAGCUCCUCUUUCGGUCUGAGCUUGGGACCAAAGCACAGGAUUCCAUGAGUGAAGGUUCGAAUCUUGACUGAACAGCAGCUUUGCAUGGCCAACGGAGACUUAAGAGUGAGAAACUCUGAAUAAAAUCAUAAUAAACUGGGACACGGCCAAUAAAAAGUCGGAAAAAUAGAGAACUUGAAUAAAACGCAGUUCUUCCCA
Bubalus bubalis (water buffalo) is the source of this 2021-nucleotide long non-coding RNA. RefSeq lists it as uncharacterized. The transcript is spliced from 5 exons. Lineage: Eukaryota; Metazoa; Chordata; Mammalia; Artiodactyla; Bovidae. The record is from RefSeq and is a predicted model, not a curated record.